UACGUAGGUGGCAAGCGUUGUCCGGAUUUACUGGGCGUAAAGAGCGCGCAGGCGGUCGUUCAAGUCGCGUGUGAAAGCCCCGGCUCAACUGGGGAGGUCACGCGAUACUGAUCGACUCGAAGGCAGGAGAGGGAAGUGGAAUUCCCGGUGGUAGUGGUGAAAUGCGUAGAUAGUCGGAGGAACACCAGUGGCGAAGGCGACUUCCUGGCCUGUUCUGACGCUGAGGCGCGAAAGCUAGGGGAGCAAAGCGGGG
This 253-nucleotide ribosomal RNA is filed under the name uncultured bacterium. RNAcentral's name for it is "partial 16S ribosomal RNA". It matches the Rfam family "Bacterial small subunit ribosomal RNA", at positions 524 to 778 of the family's 1533-position model. The record is from RNAcentral.